UUGACUACUAACGCAGCCACCCAAGUACUUCUCGAUCCAGUCCACUGUGAGAGCACGUGGAUCUAUAUGGCGCGCGGGUAAUACCACAGCCAAGGGAACGGGCUUGGCAGAAUCAGCGGGGAAAGAAGACCCUGUUGAGCUUGACUCUAGUCUGACUCUGUGAAAAGACAUGAGAGGUGUAGAAUAAGUGGGAGUAGCAAUACGUCGGUGAAAUACCACUACUCUUAUCGUUUUUUUACUUAUUCGAUGAAGCGGAAGCGAACCGCAAGGUUCACGUUCUGGAUUUAAGGUCUCUCUUUUGCAGACCGAUCCGUGUCGAAGACACUGUCAGGUUGGGAGUUUGGCUGGGGCGGCACAUCUGUCAAACGAUAACGCAGGUGUCCUAAGGUGAGCUCAAUGAGAACAGAAAUCUCAUGUAGAACAAAAGGGUAAAAGCUCACUUGAUUUUGAUCUAUCGAGCGCUAUGCUCUAUGUUAGAAUCUACUUAAUCAAGUUAUCCAAGGAAUCUAGUUAGUUCUUGUGUGCAUAAAAUAUGUACAGGAUCCUGAACAAAGCAUGAGCACAUCAAAGAUGCUGAGAGUACAUAAAAAUGUCCCUAUACCUUCUUUUUAUGUCAUGACACAACAAGAACAGUAUAAUUAAGUAUCGAUAUUUAAAAAAAAAAAUAAAGAAAAAAAAAUAGGCUAUCAGCGGGAAUCGAACCCGGGUCGCUGAGU
RNAcentral lists this non-coding RNA (716 nucleotides) under Nematostella vectensis (starlet sea anemone). Its description in RNAcentral is "Eukaryotic large subunit ribosomal RNA". It matches the Rfam family "Eukaryotic large subunit ribosomal RNA", at positions 1887 to 3401 of the family's 3401-position model. Lineage: Eukaryota; Metazoa; Cnidaria; Anthozoa; Actiniaria; Edwardsiidae. The record is from Rfam by way of RNAcentral.